Molecule: long non-coding RNA, 5691 nt
Filed under: Chlamydomonas reinhardtii
Lineage: Eukaryota; Viridiplantae; Chlorophyta; Chlorophyceae; Chlamydomonadales; Chlamydomonadaceae
Description: long non-coding RNA (CREI_LNC000249)
Source: RNAcentral
UUGGGAGCACUCAACACGCACCGUGUGUAACACACACCUUGCUUGCUGGCGCUGUCCACCACGUCCGCCUGCUGCGCGCCGCUCUGCAGCAGCAGCUCCACCCGCCUCAGUGCGCCGUCCACAGCCGCCAGGUGCAGGCACGUCAGAGUCAGAGCCAUGCCGCCGCCGCCGCCUGGGUGGGCAAGGUGGUGCGGGCGGCACGAGUGGGAGAGCGCCUUGCACGUAACCCUAGCUACUCCGUUUAUUUAUGUGGCCCCUGCUGCUGCUGCUGCUGCUGCUGCUGCUGCUGCUGCUGCUGCUGCUGCUGGUGCCCACCGGCCAUCCCUAUCUGGCGCACUCGUGUGCUCACUUGACCGCUUGCCCCCAAACGUAACGCCGCGUACGCUAGCUAGGCAGCUAGGGACCACAGCUGCGCCUUACUUCCUGUAGGAAAUGUUGCCUGGCGUGUUCUCCGGUGCCUUCGGCGCCUACCCGCCAGCCGUCCGCCAGCUAGCUAGCCCACCCAUCACAUCAUGGAUCAGUCUCGCUCUACGCAGUUUGCCAGCGCGCGGUGGCCCUCGUCAGCCCUCGGCGUUUACCAUCCGUUUCGAGGCAACAUGUCGACCCAUGCCGCCCCAGUCCCACCCCGCCUCUGUAAACUCAGUAACUUCAGAAUACCCGAACUCAAACCAACCCCCCCAUACACGUUCCACUUGCGCUACUGAGUACUGACGACUGGUUCCCUCCUGUGCUGCCUGCCGCUAGUUCCGACAGCCUCUUCUGGCAUCGUGCGCGUUCCAUUCCUAGAAGCGUUACCGAACAGUAAGCAGGCUUGUAAGCAGGUAGGCCGUCUGCACUUGAGCCAGAGGGGUGGUAUGGGGUACCGAUCCUACCGAUCCUCUGGUCACCCCAGGAUAGACCGACUUGCUACCCUAUGUGCCGCGACCUCCAAUCCCAAUCCCUGAGGUUCGGGUUCCAAUCCUCGCCGUUCCUAUCCCAAUCCCUGAAAGCCUGGUUCCAAUCCCCGCCCGACCAAACCCAAUCCCCAAAAGUGGUGUUCCAAUCCCUGGCCGGUCAAACCCAAUCCUCAAGUGCUGGGUCCAAUCCUACUCUGGCCAAUCCAAUCCACGGAGGGGUGACCGGCGGCGGGACCAAUCCUAUACCCCAUACCACCCCUCUGCUUGAGCUCACGUGGCACGCACUUAUCACAAGGCUGGCACGCACGUGCAAACGCAAUGUCGGUCUUGCACGCAUGAACAUGCGUGACGUAUCGUCGCGUUUGCGGCGGUACGGCAAGCCUCGAUGGCGGCGAGCAACGUGCCCCACGAAUGCUGCGCCCCGCACGGCCCGUUUAGGUCCUAGGCAGGGGACCCCUGGUCCUAGGCGUUGCGGCGGGCAACCUAUGCUCCUUGACACCUAGGAGCCAAUCACUGCGGUGCACGGCGUGCAGCGAAACCGUACAAACCGUCAAAACCCUGACCUGCCCUUAAACCCUGCCUGAAACCCUGAAUGGUGCACGGGCAAAGCCACGAAGCCCCGCCACGUCUAAGGCACGCUUGUUUGCCGAAUUCUGCGCUCAGUCCAGCUUCAAUUUUAACUGUAAGACAAAUCAACAGGUAAAAGUACGCAUGUAAACCAGUGACUCUUGAGUUCUGCUCGAGCGCUGAGAAGUGAGAACCUUCUUCGCAAUCGAUGGGUUAAAGGCGCGAUCGCCCCCUGGCCCGUGCCUACAUUAAAUGGGGUGCCCUCAAAUUGGAGAGUUACAAUACAGUGAUCAGAGCUUUCAGUCAAUUCCCGGUGACUACUGCUGGCGCUGCACCCUUCUACUUCUUGUUAAAGUAAGGCGCCGCGCGCGGCCGUGCAGCGGGUUCUCAGGCAGUCGACCGUUUAGAAGCAACGUUCAUGUUACCUGCUUGUGCGGGUUGUGUUAAGGAUGGGAGUGACUCGGGGUCUGCGAGCUCACGGCGCCUGCUGCACCUUGGUUGCCAGGGCAUGUCCAGCAGAACGUCAACGGCCUCGAGCAAUCAAAUCUGAGGCCUGGCUGACAACAGAUUACGACUGUUCGCGUAGGCCUCAAGCCCAAGACACUUCAACCUGCCAACCAGGAACGUGAGUUUGUUGGGUGUCCACAAGGAUCCUUGUAAAAAAGUGUGGCGGGCUAACGCACGUGCGUGUCAACUGCGCUUUCCAUUUGUUUACAGUCCUUAGACAGAUAUUGAAUCAGUUCUGCAUUGCGAACGUCGCGCAAACAACUGCACUGACAUAGUAGGUUCCGCUGGGCGCACUCGGCGUGCGUGACCACUACUGACCACUACGCUAACAGUCCCGUCCCCUCCGCUUUCCCUGUGCCUUUCCCCCAUCGUGUGCAGCAUGUUCGAUGUUUUCAGCGCUAUUGGGAAUGCAAUUGCAGACAUUACUCAGGAUGCGGUCAAAGCAGUUGGACACGUGACCGCAAGUGUGGGGGAUGCGACCGCAGCUAUUGGCCAUGCCACCGGCCUGAACCAGGCCAUGGGCCUGCUCUACACCAAGGGCCUGUCAGGUCAACGCCAGGAGCUGCUGAAGCUGCUGGUUGCUGCGGUGCGUGACCCCCGGGGAGCAGGGAACGUGAAGGGCAGGGGGGUUGUAGGGGGUUUUUGGACCCUGCCCGCCGGGGACCCUGCUGCUAGCACGUGCGCAUAACCGCUGAACCCUGGCCUAGCCUGCGGCACCGAUGCGGACCGCUGAGGCCACACGAAAACCCUGUCUUGCGCCGCAAGGUGCACUUGUUGCUUUACAUGUCCCUCGCGGCUUGUGUACGUUCGUUGUUCAACUUGUGCGUGCCUUAUGCUUGCUUCGCGCCACUCACAUUCAAUACCAUGCAGUCCGCCAACGUGUAUGAGCAUGCCAACGACCAGGGCUACAAGUACGAUGAGACGCGGUUCCUGGGCAACCGCCUUCGCCGCACGGACGAGGUAGUAAGCGCAAACUGCACAGCACACAAAGACACGUGCGUACGUGCGCCUUACAUGAUGACGUCGCACUGCUGUCCUCCUGUACGCCUCACCUCCCUGCUCACGUCCCACGAUCGGAGAUGGCAGGAACCCAAUACGGUAGUGCAGCAGCCCAUGCAUUUAUUUGAAAUUUCGCAUUUGUCACUUUGACCGGUCGCUUGCUUCAUCUAACUUUCUGCCCUCAUACCACACGCACGCAGGGCAGCAAGGGCUCCGGCUAUGGCUUUGUGCGCUACGCGGUGUACCAGGUGGCGAGCGGCCCCUACGCCGGCAAGACAAUCCUGGCGUACGAGGGCACAUUCAGCAGCGACCAGAAGUGGCAGGUGCGUCCUAUACACUCUCUGGGCUCUGGGCAGAAUGUCCGCAUGGAGGCGGCAGCAUGAGCCUGGUCCGCCCCGCUGCCGCAAGUUGUCCCAAGUACUCGAUCAAUCGCUUACACACACACGCAUUGUUCUGUUCACCAAACGUGCUACCAUGCACAUGGCACUCCGGGACGUACCCCAUGACUGCCACGCACACUAACCCGAUUAUUUCAUGCCCGACCACUUAUCCUCCCCAUCCACCCGCCUCGCGCUCACCAUGCGCACGCACAGGACUUCAAGCUAAUGCUGGGCAACUUCAAGGCGACGGCCAACACCGCCGAGUCCAUAUACCACCAGGUCCGCCCCGACUUCAUCACCGGCCACUCGCUGGGCGGCUGCAUUGCCGAGGUGGUGUGCUCCAGGUGCGGGCGUGUGCGGGCGUGUGUGUGUGUGUGUGUGUGUGUGUGUGUGUGUGUGUGUGUGUGUGUGUGUGUGUGUGUGUGUGUGUGUGUGUGUGUGUGUGUGUGCUAGGCUGCUUUCUUGGAUGAAUACACACGCUCCUCAGUCCCGCGUCUUCAUGAAAACGCUACCCUAUGCCCUGACCCACCCGCCCCACCCACCGACCACUGCCUGCUGCCCCUGCCUAUCCUGCCCGCGCAGGACCGGCUGCCGCGGUGCCGCCUUCAACGCGCCUGGGCCCUGGUCGCCUGUGGCGGAACUCAACGUGGUUGACGGGGACAAGUACAACGACGUUGAGUUUGAGAUCCACCUGGCUGUCGCGGGUAAGCGCUCUGUCCGUUCGGGCCGGGCGCAGGCUGCUUGGGAAAUUUGUUCGUUCGGGUCGGGGUAGGGCUGGGGCUUUGGAGGGACCGCACUUUGGGCUAGGGCUUGCAGUGCGCGCGGCUUCUGCAGUGCAAUUAUUCGGCUAUGCUCCCACGCGUACCCAACAUGGGCUAACAGCCUAGCGGUGGCCCCCUCGCUGGACAAGGCAGCUGAAUGACCGCCCCGCUCCCUCACGCGCCCACUGCCUCGCUACUCGUUGAUGCGCAGACCCGGUGGUUAGCUUGGCCAACUCGAGCUCGGGCGGCCGCGGCCACGGCCACAUCGGCAACGAGAACAGUGGCGCCGUGCACUGGCACGAGGGUGCUGGUGUCCUCGGCACGCACGGCAUUGACUGCAUGGUGGCAGCCAUUGGCCCCCUGUGAGCGCAGCGCGAGCUACAUGAAGGCCGCAGCAGGCCGGGCCGGGCCGUGCAAUCAAUGCAGAGUGGCCGCGUGUGCGUGUGGAGUUUUGAGGCGGGAUGCAGGGGACACUGGGUACGGGGGGCGCGCACCUAGUUUUCCAUUUAUGAGGAGCGUGAUUCAUUCUGUCGUGCGUUUGUAUCGUUCUGCUCCGGGGCCGAUGUUUGCACCCAAUUCUGGUUAUCCUGUGUCGCAGCCCGUUUGAAGGCACGUGCGACUUAUUUUUCAUCAGUACCGUAUUCAUGUAUUUCCCUAUAUCUCGAGGGCGACUUUGGAUUGUGCAAGCUUGGCUCUGCCAACCGUGAACGUGCCAGAUCCGAAUUACGACAUACACACACACGCAUACACAGUCUUUGCGUUUAUUUAUCCUUGUGUUCUUUCAAACAUUCGACGAUUGUGUGAGGCACGCCACCAUGGCUUUCAUGAUGACGCCACAUGAUGUCCUGCUUGUUGGGCGCGCUCAACACGCACCGUGUGUAACACUAACCUUGCUUAUUGACGCGCUUGAAACAUACGUGCUUGCUGGCGCCGUCCACCGCGUCUGCUUGCUGCGCGCCGCUCUGCAGCAGCAGCUCCACCAGCCUCAGUGCGCCGUCCACAGCCGCCAGGUGCAGGCACGUCAGAGUCAGAGCCAUGCCGCCGCCUCCUGGGUGGGCAAGGUGGUGCGGGCGGCACGAGUGGGAGAGCGCCUUGCACGGUGCCGCCAUUGCCGUCAGCCGCACUCGUAUCACAUCCCUCCCAUAUCGUGCGGCCCACGUACUGGCAUCCACUUCAAAUGCACUUAUGCACGGAGCGGGGUGCGUGGGCAGGCAGAACGCGUGUGACCCGUACCACACCGUAAUACCACUGCGUUCCCAUCGGGCAACCUCCACCGCGCCCCGGCUUACAAACUCACUGCAUCGCCACUGUGCCGCUGGACACGCUCCUUUGUACUCACAUAUGUGGGUGCGAUUUUAGGCUGCUCCUGUCUGCAAGCGAGCUGUCGUUGAGCUCUCGUGCCACGCAUGCCUGCGGCACUGCGGGUCCCAGGUGAAGUCCUAUCCUGCCACAGUACACCUUCCAAGGUGUUGCAGGCGGCAUGUGCUUUGCCAUGCCUUAUUGCUCGUGUACGUUCAUGUGUUCAUAUCUGUGUGCCUGUGCUCAUCAACUUCAUGUCGCAGACAGCUUCUUAGAUCCAGC